AGGGUAUUAAUUUAAUGGUAAAAUGAGAUACUACGGAUGUCUUUUUCAUAGUUCGAAUCUAUGAUACCCUG
Molecule: transfer RNA, 71 nt
Filed under: Emericellopsis fuci
Lineage: Eukaryota; Fungi; Ascomycota; Sordariomycetes; Hypocreales; Bionectriaceae
Description: Acremonium fuci tRNA-Arg
Rfam family: tRNA
About the family: Transfer RNA (tRNA) molecules are approximately 80 nucleotides in length. Their secondary structure includes four short double-helical elements and three loops (D, anti-codon, and T loops).
Source: RNAcentral